AUAUUUGCUAAUCUUAAAAAGUUACUCUUAGUUCGGAUUGGAAUCUGCAACUCGAUUCUAUGAAGUAGGAAUCGCUAGUAAUCGUAAAUCAGAAUGUUACGGUGAAUACGUUCUCGAGCCUUGUACACACCGCCCGUCACACCAUGGAAGUAAAUUGUAUCAUAAGUAAUUUUAAUAUUGCAAAGGUAUGAUUUGUAACUGGGGUGAAGUCGUAACAAGGUAGCUGUAGGGGAACC
RNAcentral lists this ribosomal RNA (236 nucleotides) under Candidatus Carsonella ruddii (Glycaspis brimblecombei). RNAcentral's name for it is "partial 16S ribosomal RNA". It matches the Rfam family "Bacterial small subunit ribosomal RNA", at positions 1261 to 1512 of the family's 1533-position model. The record is from RNAcentral. Lineage: Bacteria; Pseudomonadati; Pseudomonadota; Gammaproteobacteria; Oceanospirillales; Halomonadaceae.